UACGUAGGGUGCAAGCGUUAAUCGGAAUUACUGGGCGUAAAGCGUGCGUAGGCGGUUUUGUAAGUCUGUCGUGAAAGCCCCGGGCUCAACCUGGGAAUUGCGAUGGAGACUGCAAGGCUUGAAUCUGGCAGAGGGGGGUAGAAUUCCACGUGUAGCAGUGAAAUGCGUAGAGAUGUGGAGGAACACCGAUGGCGAAGGCAGCCCCCUGGGUCAAGAUUGACGCUCAUGCACGAAAGCGUUGGGAGCAAACAGG
RNAcentral lists this ribosomal RNA (253 nucleotides) under uncultured bacterium. RNAcentral describes it as "partial 16S ribosomal RNA". It matches the Rfam family "Bacterial small subunit ribosomal RNA", at positions 524 to 776 of the family's 1533-position model. The record is from RNAcentral.